Long non-coding RNA from Oncorhynchus tshawytscha (Chinook salmon), 1161 nucleotides. NCBI's taxonomy places the organism in Eukaryota, Metazoa, Chordata, Actinopteri, Salmoniformes, Salmonidae. The record is from Ensembl.
CUCCAAUGUACCGUCCAUGUAAAAAACCUGUCUGAUUAGAAUGAAUCAUGUCUGACAAUUGAUGUUGUUCUUCUCAACUGUUCUCUUUUCAGCUUUUUUAGGAAACAGUUUUGGGGAUUCAAUAAACCCUGCGACUACAGAAGAGCUUGUUCAGGAGGGAAGGAAUGUCCAUCUCUUCUGCAAAUAUGAUGGUACUGUUUACAAUCUACAGUGGUACCGCCAAUAUCCCAGAUCCAAACCAGAAUUCCUCUUGUACAUCACAUCACAUCCUAUUCUGACAGUUUCCAUUGAUAAAGUGGACAAACUUGUGGAUCUGAAGAUCUCUUCUGCUGAUGUGACAGACUGCUGUUUACUACUGUGCCAUGAAGACCACAGUGACAGGAAACUCUGACACACUGUACGAAAACCUGUCAAGAACCAUGGGAGGAAACCGAUAUCUUGUAUGACAUACAUAAGUAACAUACUUACUGUAUGUUAAGGGGAGGGACUUAUGGUAGAGGAUGAGUUGAACAGCAGUUGAACAGCAGCAUAGAACAUUUAAAACAGGAGGCUGCUUAGAUCUUUCUUUCAGUUUGUUUCUCUUCAUCUAAGAUGCAGUUGCUGAAUUCAGCAUUGUUCCUGACCAUAUUUAUGGGUUUGUGAUACAGUACAUUUCCAUGAAAUGUAUUGCCAUACUAGCCAAAUUUCAAUUAAAUUCAAUUUCAGUACAUUUUCAUGAAUAAUUAAGUGUGUGUGUAUUAAAACCAUUCUCUAUGCAGGUGUCAGUUGUGAGGACCUCACUCCACUCAAGAAAGAAGAGUACUGUUUAGAGGUAACCCCUGUUACCCUGUCUUACAACUACUCCAGAACAGCUACUGCUGGAGAUGAAUUCUAUUGGUAUCGACAGGACACAGCACAAAGGCCAGAGUUCCUCCUGUACAUCUUGGGUUCAGGGUUUAUAAAUAAAGCAGAUCCUCUGAACACUCGAAUAUCUGCAAAACUGAACAAAGAGAAAAACCGUUUGGAUCUGGAGAUCUCCUCUGCUGUAGUGACAGACUCUGCUCUGUACUACUGUGCUGUGAGGCCCACAGUGACAGGAAACCUACACACACUGUUCAAAAACCUCAGCAGGGACCACAUCAGCAGGAAUGUAUCUAGUUUUUGUUUGAACUUGUGCCUAAC